GACGAACGCUGGCGGCGUGCUUAACACAUGCAAGUCGAACGGAAAGGCCCUGCUUUUGUGGGGUGCUCGAGUGGCGAACGGGUGAGUAACACGUGAGUAACCUGCCCUUGACUUUGGGAUAACUUCAGGAAACUGGGGCUAAUACCGGAUAUGAGCUCCUGCUGCAUGGUGGGGGUUGGAAAGUUUCGGCGGUUGGGGAUGGACUCGCGGCUUAUCAGCUUGUUGGUGGGGUAGUGGCUUACCAAGGCUUUGACGGGUAGCCGGCCUGAGAGGGUGACCGGCCACAUUGGGACUGAGAUACGGCCCAGACUCCUACGGGAGGCAGCAGUGGGGAAUAUUGCACAAUGGGCGGAAGCCUGAGGCAGCAACGCCGCGUGCGGGAUAACGGCCUUCGGGUUGUAAACCGCUUUCGCCUGUGACGAAGCGUGAGUGACGGUAAUGGGUAAAGAAGCACCGGCUAACUACGUG
RNAcentral lists this ribosomal RNA (468 nucleotides) under uncultured bacterium. Its description in RNAcentral is "partial 16S ribosomal RNA". It matches the Rfam family "Bacterial small subunit ribosomal RNA", at positions 28 to 507 of the family's 1533-position model. The record is from RNAcentral.